RNAcentral lists this ribosomal RNA (440 nucleotides) under uncultured bacterium. RNAcentral describes it as "partial 16S ribosomal RNA". It matches the Rfam family "Bacterial small subunit ribosomal RNA", at positions 339 to 795 of the family's 1533-position model. The record is from RNAcentral.
CUACGGGUGGCUGCAGUAGGGAAUAUUGCACAAUGGGCGAAAGCCUGAUGCAGCAACGCCGCGUGCGCGAUGAAGGCCUUCGGGUUGUAAAGCGCUUUUCUGAGGGAAGAGGAAGGACUGUACCUCAGGAAUAAGUCUCGGCUAACUACGUGCCAGCAGCCGCGGUAACACGUAGGAGGCAAGCGUUAUCCGGAUUUACUGGGCGUAAAGCGCGUGUAGGCGGUUUGGCAAGUCGGAUGUGAAAGCUCCUGGCUCAACUGGGAGAGGUCGUUCGAAACUGCCAGACUAGAGGACGGUAGAGGAAGAUGGAAUUCCCGGUGUAGUAGUGAAAUGCGUAGAUAUCGGGAGGAACACCAGUGGCGAAGGCGGUCUUCUGGGCCGUUCCUGACGCUGAGACGCGAAAGCAUGGGUAGCGAACGGGAUUAGAUACCCCCGUAGUC